This 320-nucleotide unclassified non-coding RNA is filed under the name plant metagenome. RNAcentral describes it as "partial contains 5.8S ribosomal RNA, internal transcribed spacer 2, and large subunit ribosomal RNA". The stretch from base 1 to 105 matches the Rfam family "5.8S ribosomal RNA", at positions 50 to 154 of the family's 154-position model. The record is from RNAcentral.
GAAAUGCGAUAAGUAAUGUGAAUUGCAGAAUUCAGUGAAUCAUCGAAUCUUUGAACGCACAUUGCGCCCGCCAGUAUUCUGGCGGGCAUGCCUGUUCGAGCGUCAUUACAACCCUCAGGCCCCCGGGCCUGGCGUUGGGGAUCGGCGGAAGCCCCCUGCGGGCACAACGCCGUCCCCCAAAUACAGUGGCGGUCCCGCCGCAGCUUCCAUUGCGUAGUAGCUAACACCUCGCAACUGGAGAGCGGCGCGGCCACGCCGUAAAACACCCAACUUCUGAAUGUUGACCUCGAAUCAGGUAGGAAUACCAGCUGAACUUAAGC